RNAcentral lists this RNase P RNA (352 nucleotides) under Stenotrophomonas humi. RNAcentral describes it as "bacterial RNase P". It matches the Rfam family "Bacterial RNase P class A". From Rfam's summary of the family: Ribonuclease P (RNase P) is a ubiquitous endoribonuclease, found in archaea, bacteria and eukarya as well as chloroplasts and mitochondria. Its best characterised activity is the generation of mature 5'-ends of tRNAs by cleaving the 5'-leader elements of precursor-tRNAs. The record is from RNAcentral. Lineage: Bacteria; Pseudomonadati; Pseudomonadota; Gammaproteobacteria; Lysobacterales; Lysobacteraceae.
GGAGUCGGCCAGGCAGUCGCGUCAUUCCUUCGGGAAUGCCGAGGAAAGUCCGGGCUCCACAGGGCGAGGUGCCAGGUAACGCCUGGGCGGCGCAAGCCGACGGAAAGUGCAACAGAAAGAUACCGCCUACGUCUCCUUCGGGAGGCCGGUAAGGGUGAAAUGGUGCGGUAAGAGCGCACCGCGAGUCUGGCAACAGACCGGUACGGCAAACCCCACCUGGAGCAAGACCAAAUAGGGACCUAAUGACGUGGCCCGCGUCGGGUCCGGGUAGGUUGCUUGAGCGUCACGGUGACGUGGCGCCUAGAGGAAUGACUGCUCACGACAGAACCCGGCUUAUCGGCCGGCUCCGCCA